GACGAACGCUGGCGGCGUGCCUAAUACAUGCAAGUCGAGCGAAGUUUUUCUGGUGCUUGCACUAGAAAAACUUAGCGGCGACCGGGUGAGUAACACGUAAAGAACCUGCCUCAUAGACUGGGACAACUAUUGGAAACGAUAGCUAAUACCGGAUAACAGUAUUUCUCGCAUGAGAGAUAUUUAAAAGUUGGUUAUGCUAACACUAUGAGAUGGCUUUGCGGUGCAUUAGCUAGUUGGUGGGGUAAAGGCCCACCAAGGCGACGAUGCAUAGCCGACCUGAGAGGGUGAUCGGCCACACUGGGACUGAGACACGGCCCAGACUCCUACGGGAGACAGCAGUAGGGAAUCUUCCGCAAUGGGCGAAAGCCUGACGGAGCAACGCCGCGUGAGUGAAGAAGGAUUUCGGUUCGUAAAGCUCUGUUGUUAGGGAAGAAUGGAUAUGUAGUAACUAUACAUGUAAGAGACGGUACCUAACCAGAAAGCCACGGCUAACUACGUG
Molecule: ribosomal RNA, 499 nt
Filed under: uncultured bacterium
Lineage: Bacteria
Description: partial 16S ribosomal RNA
Rfam family: Bacterial small subunit ribosomal RNA
Source: RNAcentral